This 253-nucleotide ribosomal RNA is filed under the name uncultured bacterium. RNAcentral describes it as "partial 16S ribosomal RNA". It matches the Rfam family "Bacterial small subunit ribosomal RNA", at positions 524 to 776 of the family's 1533-position model. The record is from RNAcentral.
UACGUAGGGAGCAAGCGUUGUUCGGAUUUACUGGGCGUAAAGGGCGCGUAGGCGGCAAAUUAAGUCAGCUGUGAAAUCUCCGAGCUUAACUCGGAACGGUCAGCUGAUACUGAUCUGCUAGAGUGCGGAAGGGGCAAUCGGAAUUCUUGGUGUAGCGGUGAAAUGCGUAGAUAUCAGGAGGAACACCGGUGGCGAAGGCGGGUCUCUGGGCCGAUACUGACGCUGAGGAGCGAAAGCGUGGGGAGCGAACAGG